GUGCAGCAGGCGCGAAACCUCCGCAAUGCGGGAAACCGUGACGGGGUCACCCCGAGUGCCACCCGAUGAGGGUGGCUUUUCCCCGGUCUAAAAAGCCGGGGGCAAUAAGCGGGGGGCAAGUCUGGUGUCAGCCGCCGCGGUAAUACCAGCCCCGCGAGUGGUCGGGACGUUUAUUGGGCCUAAAAGCGUCCGUAGCCGGCUCGGUAAGUCCCUCCUUAAAAUCCACGGGCUCAAACCCGUGGGCUGGGAGGGAUACUGCCGGGCUAGGGGGCGGGAGAGGCCGAGGGUACUCCCGGGGUAGGGGCGAAAAUCCGUUAAUCCCGGGAGGACCACCAGUGGCGAAAGGCGCUCGGCUGGAACGCGCCCGACGGUGAGGGACGAAAAGCUAGGGGAGCAAAAGGGGAUUAGAUACCCCGGUAGU
This 421-nucleotide ribosomal RNA is filed under the name uncultured microorganism. Its description in RNAcentral is "bacterial SSU rRNA". It matches the Rfam family "Archaeal small subunit ribosomal RNA", at positions 330 to 745 of the family's 1478-position model. The record is from RNAcentral.